This 420-nucleotide ribosomal RNA is filed under the name Trachepyris sp. RNAcentral's name for it is "partial large subunit ribosomal RNA". The record is from RNAcentral. Lineage: Eukaryota; Metazoa; Arthropoda; Insecta; Hymenoptera; Bethylidae.
CAUUUUUUAUUAUUAAUAAUAAUAAAUAAGUUCUGCUCAAUGAUUAUUUAAAUAGCUGCAGUAAUUUAACUGUACUAAGGUAGCAUAAUCAAUUGUUUUUUAAAUGGAAACUAGAAUGAAUGAAUUGAUGAAAUAUAUACUUUAUUUGAAUUAUUUAUUGAAUUUAAUAUUAUAGUUAAAAAGCUUUAAUUAUUUUAUAAGACGAGAAGACCCUAUAGAAUUUUAUAUAAUAAUUUUAUAAAAUUUUAAUAUAAAUAAUAAAAUUAUAUAUUUAUUUGGGAGGAAUAUUAAAAUUAAUAACUUUAAUUAAUUGAUUACAUAAAUUUAUGAUAUAAAUAGAUUUUAUUAAAAUAUAAGAUUAAAUUACCUUAGGGAUAACAGCGUAAUAUUUUUUUAUAGUUCAAAUUGAAAAAAGUGUUU